AGGAUUAACGCUGGCGGCGUGCCUAACACAUGCAAGUCGAACGAGGUAGCAAUACCUAGUGGCAGACGGGUGAGUAACGCGUGGUCAACCUACCGUUGAGUGGGGGAUAACUAGCCGAAAGGUUAGCUAAUACCGCAUACGUCUCCGAGGGGCAUCCCUUGGCGAUAAAAGGAGCAAUCCGCUCGAUGACGGGACCGCGUCCCAUUAGCUAGAUGGUGGGGUAACGGCCUACCAUGGCACCGAUGGGUAGCUGGUUUGAGAGAGCGACCAGCCACACUGGGACUGAGAAACGGCCCAGACUCCUACGGGAGGCAGCAGUGAGGAAUUUUCCGCAAUGGGCGCAAGCCUGACGGAGCGACGCCGCGUGUGGGGAAGAAGGCCUUCGGGUCGUAAACCACUGUCGAAGGGGACGAUAAUGACGGUACCCUUGGAGGAAGCCCCGGCUAACUACGCGCCAGCAGCCGC
This 465-nucleotide ribosomal RNA is filed under the name uncultured bacterium. RNAcentral's name for it is "SSU rRNA". It matches the Rfam family "Bacterial small subunit ribosomal RNA", at positions 26 to 518 of the family's 1533-position model. The record is from RNAcentral.